RNAcentral lists this ribosomal RNA (280 nucleotides) under Lacticaseibacillus paracasei. RNAcentral describes it as "Lactobacillus paracasei partial 16S ribosomal RNA". It matches the Rfam family "Bacterial small subunit ribosomal RNA", at positions 495 to 774 of the family's 1533-position model. The record is from RNAcentral. Lineage: Bacteria; Bacillati; Bacillota; Bacilli; Lactobacillales; Lactobacillaceae.
GGCUAACUACGUGCCAGCAGCCGCGGUAAUACGUAGGUGGCAAGCGUUAUCCGGAUUUAUUGGGCGUAAAGCGAGCGCAGGCGGUUUUUUAAGUCUGAUGUGAAAGCCCUCGGCUUAACCGAGGAAGCGCAUCGGAAACUGGGAAACUUGAGUGCAGAAGAGGACAGUGGAACUCCAUGUGUAGCGGUGAAAUGCGUAGAUAUAUGGAAGAACACCAGUGGCGAAGGCGGCUGUCUGGUCUGUAACUGACGCUGAGGCUCGAAAGCAUGGGUAGCGAACA